UGUGGAUGACAUUUUUAUGGGGGACAUCUGUGGAUGGCACACUGUUAUGUCAUGGCUACAUGCUGGAGGUAACUGGUGAGUUGUUUAUGAGUCGGCCUCAUGCUCCUGUAAUUUGCCCACUGGCUCCUGGUAAUGCCCAUACGGCGCAGGUAGGCGAGUGUUAGAUUCCCGAGCUACUUGAGAAACCUUGGCGUGGUGCUCGGGCUCAGACAUGUCCUACACCGUAGGAUAUGUUGGCUAAUCACUCAAUUUUAACAUCAGUUUGAGGGUUUAGUAAGAC
This is a long non-coding RNA of Bufo bufo (common toad), 280 nucleotides long. RefSeq lists it as uncharacterized. The record is from RefSeq and is a predicted model, not a curated record. NCBI's taxonomy places the organism in Eukaryota, Metazoa, Chordata, Amphibia, Anura, Bufonidae. The transcript is spliced from 3 exons.